UCCGGUUGAACCUGCCGGACCCCACUGCUAUCGGGGUGGGACUAAGACAUGCUAGUCGUGCGCCUCCAAGCCACGGUGGAGGCGCGGCGCACAGCUCAGUAACACGUGGCUAACCUACCCUUGGGACAGGGACAACCCCGGGAAACUGGGGCUAGUCCCCGAUAGGUGAGGACUCCUGGAAUGGGUCCUCGCUGAAAGGGCGUCUAGACCAUGCUUCUAGACGCUGCCCAAGGAUGGGGCCGCGGCCGAUCAGGUUGUUGGUGAGGUAACGGCUCACCAAGCCUAAGACCGGUACGGGCCGUGAGAGCGGGAGCCCGGAGAUGGACACUGAGACAAGGGUCCAGGCCCUACGGGGCGCAGCAGUCGCGAAACCUCCGCAAUACGCGAAAGCGUGACGGGGCCACCCCGAGUGCCGUCCGCUGAGGACGGCUCUUCCCCAGUGUAGACAGCUGGGGGAAUAAGGGGAGGGCAAGUCGGGCGUCAGCCGCCGCGGUAAUACCCGCUCCCCGAGUGGUGGGGACGCUUAUUGGGCCUAAAGCAUCCGUAGCCGGCUGGACAAGUCCCCUGUUAAAUCCAGCGAUUUAAUCGCUGGACUGCGGGGGAUACUGUCCAGCUAGGGGGCGGGAGAGGCCGGCGGUAUUCCCGGGGUAGGGGUGAAAUCUUAUAAUCCCGGGAGGACCACCAGUGGCGAAGGCUGCCGGCUGGAACGCGCCCGACGGUGAGGGAUGAAAGCUGGGGGAGCGAACCGGAUUAGAUACCCGGGUAGUCCCAGCUGUAAACGAUGCGGGCUAGGUGUUGGCACGGCUACAAGCCGUGUCAGUGCCGCAGGGAAGCCGUUAAGCCCGCCGCCUGGGGAGUACGGCCGCAAGGCUGAAACUUAAAGGAAUUGGCGGGGGAGCACCACAAGGGGUGAAGCUUGCGGUUUAAUUGGAGUCAACGCCGGA
This 944-nucleotide ribosomal RNA is filed under the name uncultured archaeon. RNAcentral's name for it is "bacterial SSU rRNA". It matches the Rfam family "Archaeal small subunit ribosomal RNA", at positions 1 to 922 of the family's 1478-position model. The record is from RNAcentral.